This is a long non-coding RNA of Oreochromis niloticus (Nile tilapia), 1236 nucleotides long. RefSeq lists it as uncharacterized. NCBI's taxonomy places the organism in Eukaryota, Metazoa, Chordata, Actinopteri, Cichliformes, Cichlidae. The transcript has 4 exons. The record is from RefSeq and is a predicted model, not a curated record.
AUACCAGGGAGUUUAGUGCAGGCCACACUGGUUAGAUUGCAUUGUUGUGUUAAACAACACAUUAUGUUGGACCGGUUAGCUUAAACUUAUACUUAUGGCGAUGAUGCUGAUUAGAUUCACUCACUAAAUUCUACCUUUUAUAAUAGCUCUAUAGUGUCUAUAGUGUCCUGUUAUCUUCAUGUAUUCAGUAAACUAAAUCCACAAAGAGCAGUCAGUAUUGGAGUAGCUGGACAGGUCAGCUGAUCACAGUCCCUACAGGAAGAAACAUUUAUUGCUGCUCACAACAACAAAUUCUUAUGUGACCAGGCUGUACUGCUACACCUGCUCUCAGGGUUCCCUUGGUAACAAUGCACAGAUACAUUAGUUCUUGAGGAAAAAGAUUAACUGAAAUUAUUUUCCCGUUUCAGUUUGUGAAACUUGCAUUUCUGCAGCUUGAAGGGAGGGAAAACACUCACUGUGUGACUUUGGUUGCCAGCAGGUUACGCAGCUUGUCACUCCUGACUAUUGCCAGAUCCCCACCGCGGUUCAAACACUGUUUUCGAGCAUCAGUCCAGCUCAGCUCUCCUGGAAGGAUCUGGAAACAGCUUGAGGACUCGUGAUCGUGCGUCGCAUCUACUGGACAGAAAGGAGAGGCUGGAAGGGAACAGAAACAUGAAUGUUGUUUAACAAAUACUCUGAAGUCUACAUUCAAGCCAACCGAGCCCCAGCUGACAAGUGUGAGCUCCAGACUCCUAUUGGCCACAACAAGAGGUGGACAGUGCAGCUCUAGUUUGGGAGGAAGCGUUACAGUCACCUCCCCACGUGCAGACACCUGAACACACACAAGCCGUCAGACUGACUAUAUAAGAUCCAGGAAGUCCGUAUUUGUGAGCUGAUGUGGUGCUAACGGUUCCUGUGGUGUUGGCACGGGGUGAAAGGUCACCAAAGUCCCAGGACAGCGUCACAGGUGUGACAGAGGAGUUGGCGGUGAAAGUGAUGUGGUUGUGAACGCUUUGCAGCUGGAGAGGAGUCAGCGAGACCGAGAACUCCACCACAAAGACUUCGCGAGCCAGAGCCCACCCACAUUUCUGUGAAUUAAAGGAACCCAUAUGAAGAAGAGAAGGUUUUGGUGUUAAUACGUGGGCAGUCUGACACUGAGUAAAGGCCGAUCUUGGAGGUCAAGGGGGUGUCUGCAGCGCAAUUCAUUUGAGCGUCGAACUUGCACGCCUUUUUGCUGAAGACAGCUGACAAACCGGA